GACGGGGGCCCGCACAAGCAGCGGAGCAUGUGGUUUAAUUCGAAGCAACGCGAAGAACCUUACCAGGUCUUGACAUCCAGUUAAGCUUGUAGAGAUACAAGGUGUGCUUGCACAAACUGAGACAGGUGGUGCAUGGUUGUCGUCAGCUCGUGUCGUGAGAUGUUGGGUUAAGUCCCGCAACGAGCGCAACCCUUAUUUUCAGUUACUAACGAGUAAAGUUGAGGACUCUGAAGAGACUGCCGGGGACAACUCGGAGGAAGGUGGGGACGACGUCAAAUCAUCAUGCCCCUUAUGACCUGGGCUACACACGUGCUACAAUGGCCACCACAGAGAGGUGCGAACCCGCAAGGGGGAGCGGAUCUCAAAAAAGUGGUCCCAGUUCGGAUUGUGGGCUGCAACCCGCCCACAUGAAGUCGGAGUUGCUAGUAAUCGCGGAUCAGCAUGCCGCGGUGAAUACGUUCUCGGGCCUUGUACACACCGCCCGUCACACCAUGGGAGUUGGGAGUGCCCAAAGUCGGUGAGGUAACCGCAAGGAGCCAGCCGCCUAAGGCAAGACCAAUGACUGGGGUGAAGUCGUAACAAGGGUAGCCGUAUCGGAA
RNAcentral lists this ribosomal RNA (599 nucleotides) under uncultured bacterium. Its description in RNAcentral is "bacterial SSU rRNA". It matches the Rfam family "Bacterial small subunit ribosomal RNA", at positions 912 to 1510 of the family's 1533-position model. The record is from RNAcentral.